Odontomachus brunneus is the source of this 5552-nucleotide long non-coding RNA. RefSeq lists it as uncharacterized. The transcript has 7 exons. Lineage: Eukaryota; Metazoa; Arthropoda; Insecta; Hymenoptera; Formicidae. The record is from RefSeq and is a predicted model, not a curated record.
CGCGACAAUUUCACCCUCUACUCUCCGGGUGAAAUAUCUUUCAUUCAUGAAACGGGGAUUCUCCAACGGUCGGGAGACCUUUCAUUACUUGCAGUCGUAGCAAAACUGAGCAGCUGUCGAGUCGAGCGCUCGAUUCGAUUGACAUCGCCCGCUCGGUUGACGCGGCGAAUCUCUUUGGAGAGUACACUCGCGACACUCAGAGUCUCACUCGUGUGUCGCGAGCGUUGAAUGAAGGAGAAUAACGCCACGCAAAGUGAACCCUACGCCACUGACGAUGCUCUUUAUCUCACUGUUUCCGACGAGACGCUUCUCUCCGCGGAAGAGCUCGAAGGAGACGAGAGCGUACCGUAGGGCUGCGAGGAAAGAUAGAGAGAGAAAGAAAGAAAGAAAGAGAGAAGCGGCCGACAUUAUAGUACAAAAUAAUAAUUCAUAAAUUAUACGCGCCACGUCCGUUUAGUGCGGUGGCUCUCCGCGGCUUAAGUAUACAGCUCACUGCACGCGAACGAGACGGACGGGACGAGACGGGUCGGGACGGGACGAAGGUUGGGAAAUACGCAAAAACUAAUCGCCUGGCUCGCUCGCGGGAGGAGAUAGUAGUCAAUCGUCCGUCGAAUCAAUUGUAUCGGAUGGUAAUCGAGCGACAGAUCGACACGAAAGAGCGACGACUUACAUGACGAGCGCUCGGCGGCUUUCAUCUCGUGUAACGCCGUAACCGGUAGCGUGCCCGUUGCCCGUGUGUAAUUUGCAUUAAUUAUCUUCAAACCUCUCCGCACCGUUUGCCGUGAGCAUACGAUGAGGCUCGGAGAUACGGAAAACGAUGUAUCGCGUAUGCAAAUAACGAGCAGGAGAGAAGAUGAAAUACGGACUGGGGACGACUUAUCGUCGGCAAAAAGUGAGAAUAUCGGAAUCGACGACAACGGGCAGAAGCGCGAACCGAUCAUUCCGCGAGACAUUGAGCGUUAUCGUAAUCAAAGCGCAAAUCGAAUUCUCGCUAAUCGUAUCUCGCGUAUCGAAGUUAAAAAUUAGUUUUUCAGGCAUCCUCUCUCUCUCUCUCUCUCUCUCUCGACUGAUAACGUUAGAAGCGAGGAGACGCACGCCCAAAAUUCUUGCGUGCCGUUUUAAAACAAAAUGACAUUUCUAUGAAAGAACAUCAAGCUUGUGCGUACUUGUAAAAUAUUCCGAAAAUUAUUCUAUUUCCCUAACAAUCAAUAAAUAACCGUGAAAUUAAUAAGCAACUCUUUCGUCUCUAACCCAGCUUUUCUCAUGAUUUUUUCACUAUACUUUCAUUUGUUGACUGUCAAGGAAGAAAGAUAAUUUUCUGAGCAUUUUGCAAGUAUAUUCCAGCAAUCUAAAGUGUCUGUUUAUUCAAAAUAAUUUUUUUACUUAAAAAUAACACGCAGGAAUUUUCAGUGUCAUUUUCCACCUCUGAUGUCACGGUCCAACAUGGCCACGGCGAGUAGCCAGGAUCUUUAAUUGGGUAUUUGCAAAGUGCCAGUUACACUUUGAGAACAUGAUAGUGGCAAUUAUGCAGAUGACAACUGUACGAGUUUUAUAUGUAGAAUCAUACUAUACAUUAUAUAUACAGUUUAAUAAAUUAUUUUGUUAUUGCAACUGGACCUUUGGUUCAGCAGUCUUCUAUAUCACAUUCGUCUCCUUAAAUUAAUAACUCAAAACUUUACGCGGCUGUUUGAAAAAUGGUAGAGAAAUUUUGUGCUUGAUUUAAUCUACGAGAUACUUAACGUCAAGCACCUUGUAUAGUUGCCAUUACCAUGUCUUUUUCUCAGAGUAUAGUUAUCAAAUUUGAUAAUAUAAUUUAACAUAAUGAAUGAUUUAUUUCCCGAUUUGCGCGGAAAAUUCAGUAUUUUCAUGCGUUCGGUGUGAAUGUGAACUUCGGGGAAACGUACUUUUUCCCCGAGGCUGGUUCUUUACUGGUAUAUACGACAUAUAAAGCGCGUCAAAGUACCACGAACUUGUGCGGAUAUACGCGUUAAGGACAUAACGCGUAUCGAUUAUCGUUCCAACAUGUACGCAUCGUCUCGUAUCGUUCACAUUGCUGCGAGUGUUACGUGCGCGUUUACAUAUUCCGCCGCGCGGAGGAAAAAAGAGCGACGGAGAGAGGGAGUAAGGGAAAAAGAGGGAGAGAGAGAGAGGGUUAACUCCUCAGUCGUCGCAGGUCGUUGUAGUCGCGUUGAGUCGAGUUAGGCCCAAGCGAGACGAAGUGAGGCGAGGUGAGGCGAGGCGAGGCGAAGCGAGGCGACUCAUCACGCUUGUUUUCCGCCUGCCCGCGAUUAGCGAGAGUCAUCCUGGGGGGCCUGUUCGCUCGCACCUUUCGCACCUUUCGUAUCCUUUCGAAAUGGUUUCUUCGCGCCUCCGCGCCGGCGAACGAGGCGGAAAGGGAUGGAGCGGAUGGACAAGGUGGGAGGCGAGACUCGUCGUCAUCAGAGACUCAGCGCGACGAUCGACGGCAAGGACGAGAAAGUCGUUCGGAAAAUCCUGACUUGACGUGCCGCCGCUACCACCCUGUGGUGCUUCACCGCCGGAUCCGCACUUCAGUCUUCUGCUUCAGAUCGUGCGCAAACAGAAACAAGACCGCCACGCAGUUGCCUUGUUGUACCUGAACACUGCGUUCUCGCGGAAAUCUGCCAGAUACUUUUGCUGCUGGAAAUCGUAAUAAUUGAGACGCUUCUUCAGCAGCUCGAUCUGACGUGCCAUCAGAGGAUUCACGAGAUGCUUCACCUGCGCCGCCCACUUCUUAACCGUCGCCCAUUGCUCCGGCAGUUCCGCCAGCCAAACAUACGUUUCUUCGCCGAAUUGCACUUGAUGCUCCGGAAGAUUUUCCGAGUCUUCAGCCACUAUGGCUUUUUCCUUGUCCGUGAGAGCACGCCCGAAGCGUAAAAACAAAUCCAAGUAUUCCUGUUUGUCGUCCAGCCACAGCCAGAUGGCCGCGAGAUAACCAGUAUGCGAGCCCUGGAAACACCUUAAAGGAACUUUGGGUAAGCUGCGUUUGAUACUCAUCGCAGACCUUUAUCUCUCCCAGACGUUUCUGAAAAUCAGUUAUUCCUUCGAGCACCAACUCGUCGUGAAAGUUCCACAGGAUCGGCUCGCUCGACGGCCUGAAACUCCUGAUUACUCGUCGCGACCACCUCGAUUUAUGACGUCAAAACCGAGAAAGUGCAUGCCCGAAACUCGUAUAAAGUACAUCGUCGAAAUAAAAAGAAUGUAGUUACCUCAGACCGGGCGUCUUUCUCAAUCUGUUAGUGGUGUCCUCGUCGAAGCUGGUAGCGCCCCAUCCAAUCACGACGAACGAUACGUUCGUCGGCAUGUCCAUAGUAUCCAGGGACUUGGUUUGGAUGCAAAUCGGCCUCGCGUUGCUCGUCAUACGCACAGGCGUCGUCAGUUUCAAGAUAGCCACAUCGUGAUAGUUGGUGCUGCGCUUGUACCGCGGGAAACAAGGAGGAAGGAAAGAAGGAAGAAAGAAAGGAAACACAUCAUACCUAUUUCCGCCGGCCGAAGUCCUAUCUUAUCGGUGAUGUUGAAUGGGCAACAGACGAUUUCCGUAUAGUUCUUGAAGCCGCAACGUCCUGUUGAGUCCGAGGACCUCUUGCCUUCCAGCACCUCCCGUACCCUGGACGGACAGUCAUGUAUCUUCUUGCAUACGCCUGUAUUACCAUCCUCCAGCUUGCAAUUGCUGCCUUCUAUGUCAGAUAGAUUUGAGAUUACGUCGAAUUUAUACAUUGCGUCAACAUCGUUGAGCGUCCCUCAGACGCUCUUCGCGCACAAAUAAUUAAGCUCGUUUCGAGGAUAUCGGCGGAGGAAAGACAAGACCAGGAAAAGCCCAGUGUGGGUCGUUGAAACUAUAAUCGACAGAACAACCCGCACUUUUAAUCGCGCGUUAACGAGUCUACUUGACCCACUAUGAGAACUACCUAUAAAUUUCUUUCCUCGUGGGGAUUACACAUCGUUCCCGUGAUAAUCUCGCCGGUUCUCGUCGCACACCGCAAAGCUAUCUGUCGCCAAUUUGAAAGGACUCUACUGAGGCCGCACUGUAAACGCAUAGCAGACGUUAAGAUGCCUUUUUGAUUCUAAAAUUGUAACACCGUUAUACGUGAUGUUUAUAUAAGUAAAAGGUUUAAGAAAGAAAUUUAUAAUUGAAAAGGCAUAUUUUUAGCGUUUGCUAUGCGCCCAAGAUAAGGUCACUGGCUAUCCAUACACACACACACACACACACACACAAAUAUAAACUUAUGGAAUAGUUGAAACAAGUAACAUUCACUUCACUUCAGUACAGUAUAUAUUUUUCUAUGUAUAGAUAGAACAAAAAAUCACAAUAACUUGAAAAUUAUGAGAAAAUAACAAUCACUUCUUGCUUAUGAUUCGAUCAUUUUUUCAUCAUUUCGACGUUAUUGGACGUUCUCAUGAUUUUCUGUUCCAUCUGAAUGUGAUCGCGAGUUUCUUACAAAUUUUUCUCCAAAAUAUAUUCUCUCACGAUAGAUACCGGUGAUUCACACUUUCUUUGAAUUAAAAUGGCUUUAGAUAUAAAUGUCCUAUUGAGGGAUUUCCUUAUUGCUAUAAAAAGACGACGCACGUGUAGGCAUACACGUGUGUGCACGCAAUCGCGAUUGCAAUGGCUGAUCGGCUGAUUGAUAAUGUAACACUGGAAAAUUACGUCUGCAACGACGACUUUCGUCAGUCUUCGCUCUCGACUUAAUUACAUGUGUGAAGAAUCGCACAUUUGAUGGUAGUGGUGUGGUAAAAGCGCCGCCACCGGUUUCGGUGUCCUCGGAUGGCCGCGGGGAAGAACGGAAUGGCAUACCGCGACACCGCAACAGUAUUAUAAUGCGAUACGUCGGAGUAGAAAACAGCGAUUGCACUAACAUUGCAUCUAAUUGCUCAUAGAUUUCGAUACUGUGCAUGUAUUUAAAUAUUUAUCGCGUGCGUGUUAUCGGAUAGAGGCGACGAUGUAUGAAUUACUGAACGAUGCCAAUAAACACUAUCUGGUACACAUCGUAAACGCGUGUAGAACGGAAAACAAAUUAACGUUAACCGCGAUAACGCUACAACCGAACUCUGGAUUUUACUGUGAAUCGCUUAUCUAUUCGUAAAUUUUGAAUCGGCGAGUCGUGCAUAACAACGACAUCGCGGAAUGUGCGGAAUUUUUUUCGAUUUCAAUUAUUCGCCAUAUUUUCCGCAUGGAAUGUAUCAAACGCAAAUAUCAAAUUGACCUAUUGACCUUAGAAUCCACGAUACGUUACUGUCACAAUACAUGUAGAUCCCAGUAAGCAUGAGAAAAAUUCUGUUUCUUCUGAAAACUAUUUGAAAGAUAAUACAAUCGCGUACGUGUUAGGUGUGUAUCAAUUUAGUAUAGUUCAUAUCUCUAUCAAUAUAAUCUAUGUAAUAGUUAACCGUACCAUAAAGAUCCUCCAAUUGUGAGCUGUGCAUAACAAGUAAGAGGACAAGCGAGAUCGAGGACAACCCAAAGCCCAUCUCGGCGACUAUCCGUAGCUCUAUCCACUUAAAAAAAAUAAAAGAAAAUAAACAUACAUACACUCAUA